CUUUCUUUCUUUCUUUCUUUCUUUCUUUCUUUCUUUCUUUCUUUCUUUCUUUCUUUCUUUCUUUUUUUUUCCUAACUGAUCUCACCUUAUGAUUGGCAGAAUUAUGUUAAAUGUAUCCAAGAAAAUAACUUCCAAAAUAUCGACAAGUUCCAUCAGGGAACCAUACCAUCAGGUGGGUAUACACGCUGCUGCACAUCAGGCAGGUUGAUGAACUGCUGGUUUGGUAGCUAAAAGUGGUCCUCUGUGCACCCACUGAGAUUACCUCCUCUAUUCCCCAUGGAGGAAUUGGGGAUCUCAGAGGACCUCACCAAAACAGCGCCAACUUAAGCUGGUAAUUCAAGGAAGUAGCUACUGAACUGUUUUGAAUAUUUCAGUAUCAUUCUACCUAUAUUCAAAGACUUGGAUAGUCUGAUUCAGACAAGGAAAAGAGGAUUAUAGUGCUUUUCUAUUUCAUAUGCCUCCUCCUCCCUUGUAUAAUUAAAGCAAUGGGAGUAAACUUCUUCAUAUGGCAACAGAAGAUCCAACAAAUAAGUAGGUUUUGGGUAGACUUGAACACUUACUGAAUGCAGGGUUUGCUGUGAACAAUAAUUUAUAUAGUUGUCCAUAUUUAACUGCACACCUGUUUUUUAUCUAAUAAAACUGCAUUUCCUCACCACUAACUUCCUACCAGUCCAAGUUAUCUGUCUGGAAUAUGCCAGUUUUCUAGAGCCUAUUUCUCUAGCUUUCUGACAUAAAAAGUCGUAUUUCAAUCCUCUUAUGUGAAUCUCACUCCGGUUACUCUUUUAUUUUGCUAACAGCACCAGAAAUUUCCCGCUUCCGUGUAGCGAUGAAUUAUAUCUUGCCUGACCUCUAGUGGCUAUGAUCGUGAAUUGAGCGUCCUCCUCUCUACAGAAAGACUAAAAUUAGGUUCGGCAAUCAUGAAAAGAAAUACCGCUGAUUUAAGACUACCACAUGCUGAAGGUAAAGAGGAUGCAGUACAAAGAGAAGCCAGAGGACCAGCUACCACAGAGGGCUCGCACUACAGAUGCCAAAGUCUUGCAGGGCCAGUCCUAGAAUGUAAAAGGGCAAUCCAGCUGAAGAGUGAUCUUACCAUGGGACUGCUCCUCACUGUGACUGGUGAGGAUUUACCAUUGACUCCAUCAGUGUGCUGUGUGACCAGGCCCACACAGGCUCGCGUAUCGAUGGUAGCCUUUCCUGCAGCAUAGGAUUAAACAGCUCAAGAAGACUCCACAUGCAGGGUAUGACUCUUGUUAUGUCUUGCUGUAUUCAGACUCUCGUGCUUGUCAACUUACUUGUAACGGAGCACUCUAAGUGCUGUUACUCUCUUCUUCAUCUUACUCCCUGUCAAGAGAUUAAGGGCUGGGAAAAGUGAGUUAAUUAUCUGGGGAAACAAUCCAAAACACAAUGCUUUCAGGCACUUUCUGUACUUUUGUUUCAGCCAAAAGUGCACACUGCUCCUGCUUCCUCUUAACAAAGGACUGUCCUGUGUUUUUACUAUAGCAAAUGACGUUAUCUAAC
Molecule: long non-coding RNA, 1518 nt
Filed under: Numida meleagris (helmeted guineafowl)
Lineage: Eukaryota; Metazoa; Chordata; Aves; Galliformes; Numididae
Description: lncRNA (ENSNMEG00000000583.1)
Source: RNAcentral